CUGAUAUUUAAUUAAAUGGCCGCAGUAUUUUAACUGUGCAAAGGUAGCAUAAUCAUUAGUCUUUUAAUUGGGGGCUUGUAUGAAUGAUUGGACGAGAUAUGUGCUGUCUCAUAAAAAUUUAGUUUAGAAUUUAAUUUUUUAGUCAAAAAGCUAAAAUAAUUUUGAAAGACGAGAAGACCCUAUAGAUUUUUAUAUAUUUAUAUAURUUAUUAUUUUUUAGAUUUAUUAUUUAAUAAUAUUUUUAUAUAUUUUGUUGGGGUGACAUUGAAAUUUUUAAAACUUUCAUAAAUUUUGUACAUUAAUUUAUGGAUUUUUGAUCUUUUAUUAUUGAUUAAUAGUUUAAGUUACCUUAGGGAUAACAGCGUAAUUAUUUUGGAGAGUUCAUAUCGAUAAAAUAGAUUGCGACCUCGAUGUUGGAUUAAGAAAAAUGUUAGGUGUAGAAGCUUAAAUAAUUAAGUCUGUUCGACUUUUAAUUUCUUACAUGAUCUG
Molecule: ribosomal RNA, 489 nt
Filed under: Teuchophorus ornatulus
Lineage: Eukaryota; Metazoa; Arthropoda; Insecta; Diptera; Dolichopodidae
Description: partial 16S ribosomal RNA
Rfam family: Bacterial large subunit ribosomal RNA (bases 355-489)
Source: RNAcentral